Molecule: long non-coding RNA, 783 nt
Organism: Salvia splendens (bonfire salvia)
Lineage: Eukaryota; Viridiplantae; Streptophyta; Magnoliopsida; Lamiales; Lamiaceae
Exons: 3
Source: RefSeq, a predicted model, not a curated record
UUUGGUGGUGUGUGUUCUUCAACAGUUGUUGGUUUUAGAAAUAUCCUUGAAUAUAAGGAUUGAUUUAUUACCAAAAGAAGAGUGUUACAGUAAAUGACUGUUCUUAUCAUCUGUCAAUUUAUAUGGGGGAUAGGUGAUCUUUUUUUUUGAACGAGUAUAAAUUGAAUCUUUCAACAGUUGAAUUGUUUGUUGUAUCAUCCAAUUCUUGCCUCCUCAAAAUUAUCGACUAUCCAUAAUAUAAAUAAAAGUUAAAAUACAUCAACUUCCUUCAUCUAAUGUUAGUAUUCAUAUUACAUAUGCCAAUUUAAGUGGGAAUCAAUCCACCUAAAUGACUCGAUUCAAGUGCUAAACAAGUUCGAAACAUGGAACGAAAUUUAGAAUACGGAUCAAAGUUAAAAUUCGAACUCAUGAAGGAGCUAUGUCUGGCAGUUUGGGGAGGUUCUUGCAACAACUGAACAUGAAGAGGCGAUAGUCAUAUCUGAGAUUGAUUAUUCCCUUAUUGAGCAAAGAAGAACAUAUCUUCCAUUCGAGAGGCAGCGGCGAGGAGACCUUUACCAGGUUGUUGAUGUCCAGAGAGUUGGCUCGGUUUGAUAUGCAAUAAAUGAUCGGAUGUUUAUCCCAAGACCAAGACAUGAUUUCGUGAUCUCUCAUGAUUCUGCUGGCUGAUGUCCAAACUGCACCAUUUCUGGAUUUAAUUCCACUGCCUGUGUCUGUUACCUAACAGAGUAUUGGUAAUAUGUAGGAUACCAUACGAAUUCAAUUCUGUCUUCUACCAAACAGCGC